UACAGAGGUCCCAAGCGUUGUUCGGAUUCAUUGGGCGUAAAGGGUGUGUAGGUGGCGCCGUAAGUCGGGUGUGAAAUUUCGGAGCUUAACUCCGAAACUGCAUUCGAUACUGCGGUGCUUGAGGACGGUAGAGGGGGGUAGAAUUGCUGGUGUAGCGGUGAAAUGCGUAGAGAUCAGCAGGAAUACCCGUGGCGAAGGCGGCCCCCUGGGCCGAACCUGACGCUGAUGCGCGAAAGCCAGGGGAGCGAACGGG
Molecule: ribosomal RNA, 253 nt
Filed under: uncultured bacterium
Lineage: Bacteria
Description: partial 16S ribosomal RNA
Rfam family: Bacterial small subunit ribosomal RNA
Source: RNAcentral